AUUCCAUUAUCACUAUUUAAAGGUCAUUGAUUUUCUUUAUAAUUCUCUAAUUAGUAAGCAAAGACCGAAAUUGCAUUGGUCGGCAAUCGAGUACUCUCAGUUACGCUGAUCUACUCUCACGCUCUCAGUGCUUCCAUCCAGAAACAAAGUGGAUUAGUAUAGAAUUCUAUACAGCUAAGCAUAUGGCGGUGUGUCACCGACAGAUCACUUCAAGCACCAAACGAGCUGUAUAAGAGUUGAUGACAUCUGCCGCAAAAACCCAAAAGAGAGAUUUCAAUGGAGAAAUUUGCUGAAGAUCUGAAUAAUCGAUUUCUCAGCAUGCCUGAAGCCAUCAAAGGAAGCAAAUCAUCAUCUGCAGGAAAUGAAGAUGGAGAAGAAGCCAAGUCUGAAUCUAUGGAGAAAGUAAGUGUAGAAGAAAAGGCCAUCAACGACGCCAGAGGUCCGACACGCCCGACUCCACCCAAAGGUCCACCUCCGCAGACUGCUUGAACAAUUUUAUUUUGUUGUUUUUUAUUUUUAAUUUUCAGAAAACUAUUUCGUUGAAUUUAAAUUUUUAUUUCAUUGGAGAGAGAAAGAGAGAGCUAAAUAUAU
Molecule: long non-coding RNA, 591 nt
Organism: Hevea brasiliensis (rubber tree)
Lineage: Eukaryota; Viridiplantae; Streptophyta; Magnoliopsida; Malpighiales; Euphorbiaceae
Exons: 3
Source: RefSeq, a predicted model, not a curated record